Molecule: long non-coding RNA, 548 nt
Organism: Patella vulgata (common limpet)
Lineage: Eukaryota; Metazoa; Mollusca; Gastropoda; Patellidae
Exons: 4
Source: RefSeq, a predicted model, not a curated record
UUGGUAGGUAUUAUUAGAACAGAUGCCUACAGUGACGGGGCCCCUGACGAAUCGUGUGACUCAAUGGAUCCGUCGUCUGGUCACGUUGCACAUCCACAAACCACGCCGUCACCAUAUGCUGUUACAUUAACGGCUGAUCAUUAUGAACCGGGAACUCCCGUUGAAGUAAAACUGGAGUCAAAAUCAGGAUUGAACAUAACCGGCUUUCUUCUAGAAGCAAGAAGGGCAGAUCCAAGCAAAAAUACAGAUGAACUUAUUGGAAAGUUUGAUCCAAUAAUCAAUACCCAACAAGUCUGUAAUACACAUGCCUUAACACAUAAGAACGGCAAACUGCGGUUACCUGUAGUGCUUAAAUGGAACCCACCGCCGUCACCCGCUGGGCAUAUCCAAUUCAGGGCAACAUUUGUAUUUAAACAAAAGACCUUUUGGAUUAACGUGCUGUCUGAUGUUGUUAUGGAUAAUUCGUCUAAGCCAUUCACUAUUGAAACUUCAACCCCUGCUGUUUCUGGUUUAACUGAUUUGACUUCACAAGCUCCAGCUCCAACAAC